GACGAACGCUGGCGGCGUGCUUAACACAUGCAAGUCGAACGGAAAGGCUCCAGCUUGCUGGAGUACUCGAGUGGCGAACGGGUGAGUAACACGUGGGUGAUCUGCCCUGCACUUCGGGAUAAGCCUGGGAAACUGGGUCUAAUACCGGAUAGGACCGCACUUUGGUGUGUGUGGUGGAACGGUUUUUCUGGGGUGGGCUGAGCUCGCGGCCUAUCAGUUUGUUGGUGGGGUAAUGGCCUACCAAGACGGCGACGGGUAGCCGGCCUGAGAGGGUGGACGGUCACAUUGGGACUGAGAUACGGCCCAGACUGCUACGGGAGGAAGCAGUGGGGAAUAUUGCACAAUGGGGGCAACCCUGAUGCAGAGACGCCGCGUGGGGGAUGAAGGCCUUCGGCUUGUCAACUCCUCUCGCUAGGGAAGAAGCUUUUAGUGACGGUACCUGGAGAAGAAGCACCGGCUAACUACGUG
RNAcentral lists this ribosomal RNA (468 nucleotides) under uncultured bacterium. RNAcentral's name for it is "partial 16S ribosomal RNA". It matches the Rfam family "Bacterial small subunit ribosomal RNA", at positions 28 to 507 of the family's 1533-position model. The record is from RNAcentral.